RNAcentral lists this ribosomal RNA (141 nucleotides) under uncultured bacterium. RNAcentral's name for it is "partial 16S rRNA". It matches the Rfam family "Bacterial small subunit ribosomal RNA", at positions 355 to 511 of the family's 1533-position model. The record is from RNAcentral.
UGGGGAAUUUUCCGCAAUGGGCGAAAGCCUGACGGAGCAAUGCCGCGUGGAGGUGGAAGGCCUACGGGUCGUCAACUUCUUUUCUCGGAGAAGAAACAAUGACGGUAUCUGAGGAAUAAGCAUCGGCUAACUCUGUGCCAU